CAGUGUUAAGUUUUUGUGUUUUGGUCUAUUUUUCUUAAACUAUAAGUAAUAGGUCAACUAUAUAUGUUGUAUAGAAGCAUUGUUAGCUGUACAUGUCUGCCUGGAAUGGUUCAUCUGACCUUGACCUCAUUUUCAAGGUUCAUUGGUCUUUGUUUAGUUAUCUUGGUUAAUGUUAAGUUUAUGGUACAGUUGUUAUAAAGCUUAGCUUUUUACUUAGGACUAUCAACAUAAUAUCAAUGAUUAGUAUAGAAGGCGAGACAUUUCAGCGUGUGCACUCUUGUGAUAAAA
This 288-nucleotide long non-coding RNA is filed under the name Mytilus galloprovincialis (Mediterranean mussel). Lineage: Eukaryota; Metazoa; Mollusca; Bivalvia; Mytilida; Mytilidae. The record is from RNAcentral.